AACUUGUCUCCAUAUAGCCUAAAGGAUUAAGGUUAUCUUCCUAGAAAUAAUGUACCUAGGGAGCAAAGGAAUACCCCAUUUCUUGGGUGUCCCUUUUAAGUUGUCAAAGUCAUGUUCUGUCUCCACAUCAGCAGGUAGAUAUUACCGUUGAGUAACCUAUGAAGGGCUUCAUGAACGUUAGGGGGGGAUAUGAUGAGGAGUAGAGUAUACUCUUUAAAUUUUUGAAGGGGAGUUUAACCAUUCCAAUGUUU
Molecule: long non-coding RNA, 251 nt
Filed under: Lathyrus oleraceus (garden pea)
Lineage: Eukaryota; Viridiplantae; Streptophyta; Magnoliopsida; Fabales; Fabaceae
Description: Pisum sativum (pea) long non-coding RNA (PSAT_LNC003795)
Source: RNAcentral